RNAcentral lists this long non-coding RNA (228 nucleotides) under Homo sapiens (human). RNAcentral describes it as "LNC_000761". The record is from RNAcentral. Lineage: Eukaryota; Metazoa; Chordata; Mammalia; Primates; Hominidae.
CUCUUUCUCAGUGGCUUAGUAAUUUGUUUUAUUUGAGACAUGAAUCCAGAGAAGUGAGUGGUAAUUUCCAACUUACCCCAGUGGCAAUCAGUCACUAUCUGCUCAUCUGCACACUGGUGCCACCAAGGGUCCUGCAUCCAGUCUUCUGCAUGAACACCUCUGGAAGCCGCACAGGAACGAAGUCUGGGUCAUGUGCGGACCGCUUGUGGCUCUUAAAUCCUCUUUUUG